Molecule: non-coding RNA, 488 nt
Organism: Drosophila melanogaster (fruit fly)
Lineage: Eukaryota; Metazoa; Arthropoda; Insecta; Diptera; Drosophilidae
Source: Ensembl
AAUAACUCGAGCUUAAAAUUAAGCCACAUCGUUCAAAAUAAUCCAUAAGAUAUAAAAUGUACGACACCGAUACACAAAAUAAUCCAUAAGAUACAAAAUGUACGACACAGAUACACAAAAUAAUCCAUAAGACACAAGAACACGCUACAACAUAAUCAACCAGACACAAAAUACAUUUCGAAACAUAAAAAUAAACGUUAAGAUACACAUACAUAAAUAUAUCCAUUAGAUGCAACGUAUAUCUAAAAUGAACAUAAGCCCACCGAUGAAAAGGUCGUUGAGCUACCGCUAAAUUAGAUGACUGUGAUUAUGCUAAUAUGGGUCGAUCGAAUCGAGUUGAAAGUGAAAUUGAAACGCGAAUCGAAAGUGACUGAGCCGCAUGAAUGGAAUCAAAUCAAAAUGAAUAAAAUGCUAAUUCACACAGCCUAACUAAUCGUGAAUACAUGGGAAUUAGAAUGCAUAAAGAAUGGGUUUUUUAAACCAAAUUU